GUGUUAUUUCGAUAGCACAUAUAAUAAAAUUGGAACAAUACAGAGAAGAUUAGCAUGGC
Cyclopterus lumpus (lumpfish) is the source of this 59-nucleotide small nuclear RNA. The record is from Ensembl. NCBI's taxonomy places the organism in Eukaryota, Metazoa, Chordata, Actinopteri, Perciformes, Cyclopteridae.